ACGGAACUCACAUGCGUGCGACGUUUGG
This 28-nucleotide non-coding RNA is filed under the name Bombyx mori (domestic silkworm). The record is from RNAcentral. Lineage: Eukaryota; Metazoa; Arthropoda; Insecta; Lepidoptera; Bombycidae.